This is a long non-coding RNA of Cyprinus carpio carpio, 2701 nucleotides long. NCBI's taxonomy places the organism in Eukaryota, Metazoa, Chordata, Actinopteri, Cypriniformes, Cyprinidae. The record is from Ensembl.
UGCGUACUACAGGGUUCGGUCGCUGAACUACACUUUUUACCACACCCUACACGUCAACAUACCUUUGAUAUAGUAUCGCACAAAAUUACUCUUUUCAGUCUGUUACAUUUGAACUAAGAAGACAAAUCACACAGAGCUUUGCAAUACCGUUUGGUCUAUAUGGUUAUGACUUUAAACAGCCGAAGGAGGUGGUGUUUCAUUUCAAAAUAUGAGGCCAGAUGGACCGUAUUCCUCACCAUAUUAUAUGUAUGGUGCAUUGUUUGUGGAGGUACAACCUCCAUAACACCAACAACACCAAUUUCAACAGCCAGUGAAGUUUGUAUAAUAAGAACUAAAGCAUCUCUUACCACAGCUAUGAUCCUCAAACAAAAUACAUGCAUAGCUGCGACUUUCACAACUACAUCUCCAACAACUACUGAUUCAAUAUCAAUUGCAUCUACAACUGAGGCUCCUACAGAAAAUGUAUCUUCAGCAACAGCUACAGGUCAAACAGCAAUGUCAUUUUCAAUGACAACAGAAACUGGAGCUUUCACAACCACAGAUGUGAUCCCCACAACCACUCUCAUAUUCUCACCAAGUACAAAUGCACCAUCAACAGCAACAAAUGCUGCUUUAACAACAACAGCACCAUCAACAGAAACUGAAGCUUCCACAACCAUAGAUGUGACCCCCACAACCACACUUAUAUCCUCACCAAGUACAACUACACUUUCAACAGUAACAAAUGCUGCUUCAACAACAACAGCACCAUCAACAGAAACUGAAGCUUCCACAACCAUAGAGGUGACCACCACAACCACUCUCAUAUCCUCACCAAGUACAACAACAACAGCACCAUCAACAGAAACUGAGGCUUCCACAACCAUAGAUGUUAUCCCCACAACCACUCUCAUAUCCUCACCAAGUGCAACAACAACAGCACCAUUAACAGAAACUGAAGCUUCCACAACCACUCUCAUUUCCUCACCAAGUACAACUGCACCAUCAACAACAAAUGCUGCUUCAACAACAACAGCACCAUCAACAGAAACUGAGGCUUCCACAACCAUAGAUGUGACCCCCACAACCACUCCCAUAUCCUCACCAAGUACAACUGCACCUUCAACAGCAACAAAUGCUGCUUCAACAACAACAGGACCAUCAACAGAAACUGAGGCUUCCACAACCAUAGAUGUGAUCCCCACAACCACACUUAUAUCCUCACCAAGUACAACUGCACCUUCAACAGCAACAAAUGCUGCUGCUUCAACAACAACAGCACCGUCAACGGAAACUGAAGUUUCCACAACCAUAGAGGUGACCCCCACAACCACUCUGAUAUCCUCACUAAAUACAACAACAGCAUCAUCAACAGAAACUGAGGCUUCCACAACCAUAGAGGUGACCCCCACAACCACUCUGAUAUCCUCACUAAGUACAACAACUACAGCACCAUCAACAGAAACUGAAGCUUCCACAACCAUAGAUGUGAUCCCCAUAACCACACUUAUAUCCUCACAAAGUACAACUGCACCAUCACCAGCAACAAAUGCUGCUUCAACAACAACAACAGCACCAUCAACAGAAACUGAAGCUUCCACAACUACAGAGGUGACCCCCACAACCACUCUCAUAUCAUCACGAAGUACAACAACAACAGCACCAUCAACAGAAACUGAAGCUUCCACAACUACAGAGGUGACCCCCACAACCACUCUCAUAUCAUCACGAAGUACAACAACAACAGCACCAUCUACAGAAACUGAGGCUUCCACAACCACACUCAUGUCUUCACCAAGUACAACUGCACCUUCAACAGUAACAAAUGCUGCUUCAACAACAACAACAGCACCAUCUUUAACAACUGAAGUUUCAACAACUGCAGAUCUGAACCCCACAACCAUGCCUGUAUUCUUUGCAUCUACAGCAACAGAUGAAGUUGCACUGUUUUCGACAACUGAAGCUUCUACAGCUGUGUCCCCCACAAACACUCUUAUAUCCUCAAUAACUGCUCCUAGAACAACUGCUGCUUCAACACCAUCCUCAACCAUUGAAGGUUAUACAACCACAGCUGUGACCUCCACAACCACUGUUAUAUUCUUAGAAACUACAACCACGGCAAAUACUGCUCAAACAACAACAUUUUCAAAAACAAAUGAAGCUUUAACCACCACAGCAGUGAAUCCCACAACUAUGCCUGUAUUCUCAAUACCUACAUCAAAAGAAAAUUCUGCUCCAACAAUAAUUCCACUGUCUUCGACAGCUGAAGCUUCUACUACCAAAGCUGUGAACCCCACAAAAACUCUUAUAUCAUCAGCAACUGCACCUACAACAACAACAAAUGCUGCUACAGCACAAUCUUUGACCACUGAAGGUUAUACAACCACAGCUGUGAACCCCACAACCACUCUUAUUUCUUCAGAAUCUAAAACAACAACUUCUCCAACAACACCAUUGUCAACAACAAAUAAAGCUACAACCACCACAGCAGUGAAUCCCACAAUAACGCCUGUAUUCUCAGUACCUACAGCAACAGAAAAUGCUGCUCCAACAGAGACACCCUUGUCAACAAUUAAAAGUGAAGCUUAUACAACCACAGCUGUGACCCCCACAACCACAAUCAUAUCUUCACCAACUGCAACUGCACAAUCUUCAACAACUGAAGCUUCAACAAUCGCAGCCAGAAACCCCACAACCAUGCCUGUAUUCUCUCUACCUCCAG